Molecule: long non-coding RNA, 4004 nt
Organism: Macaca fascicularis (crab-eating macaque)
Lineage: Eukaryota; Metazoa; Chordata; Mammalia; Primates; Cercopithecidae
Source: Ensembl
UUUUUUUUUUUUUUUUUUUUGGAUGAGUUGCUGGAAGCCCCAACACAAUGGUUUGGGAAUAAAUGAAAGUGAGGAAUGGAGAAGUAAGGAGGUACCACUCUCAAGGAGGCUGGCAGUAGAGGGGACAAAUAGUGUGAGAGAGGAACAGAAGAACCAAGCAGGAAACUGGAAGAGGUUGGUAGAUGAGGUUAAGAAUCUGAUGAAGAGGCCGGGCGCGGUGGCUCAAGCCUAUAAUCCCAGCACUUUGGGAGGCCGAGACGGGCGGAUCACGAGGUCAAGAAAUCGAGACCAUCCUGGCUAACACGGUGAAACCCCGUCUCUACUAAAAAUACAAAAACUAGCCGGAGGUGGUGAAGCCUGUAGUCCCAGCUACUCGGGAGGCAGAGCUUGCAGUGAGCUGAGAUCCGGCCACUGCACUCCAGCCUGGGCUACAGAGCGAGACUCCGUCUCAAAAAAAAAAAAAAAGAAUCUGAUGAAGAGAGAAAGAAUGAAGAGUGAGUGAGAAAGGGUCAAUGGCCCUGGUAUAAGAAGAGGCAGAAAGGACUGGCGAGCACAAGGGCUUAGGAGGAGCCCGUAAGUCUCAGAAGCAGGGGGAAGAGGUAAAGAUGAGUGAGGAUGGCAGCAAGGUGGUGGGAGGAAAAUGGAUGCAGAGCUCCCAGAUCAUAGUCCCUGUUUCCUCUAUGAACCAAGAAAAUAGGUAAUGGCUGAAGGGUCUGGGCUGACCGGUGGAGUAAGUAACAUUUAGAUGCUUGUGCUGUGAGUUGCUGCCUCCUCUGGGGUGGGGCAGGGAAGAGCCAGUGUCAGGGGUGAGUGGAGUAGAAAAUUGACUUGAAGGGCACAGGGACACUUCCAAGGAAGCGAGGUACCCUCUUCCAGAGUCACCUUGAUGCUCUGUCGCAUCCUUUCUCCUAGCAUCUGUAACUUCUUUGUUUUUUCUUGUUCACUUGCUGCUUUCAACUCUAACUUAAGCCCAGUUCCUAUUAUUGGCCCCCUUAGAGGAACAGUGAAAACAUUCAUUGUUCUAAUACAGGAAUCCCUCUGCUGUUCCUUCUUCCUUAUUAUGAAUGGCAACAGUUACAGAGCUUCCAACAGGUGGAGGCCAAAAACCAAACAGACUUUUCAAUGUUGACUCUCUCGGGCUGCAUACAGAAUGGCAGCUCUGCCCCACCGCCCGGAGCCUCGCCAACAAAGGCCAAAUCAAACAGCGGCCCGGAACAGAGGGCUAGCGAGCGCUGCAGAGCCAGCAAACACCAAAGGGAAAUCACCCUGGAUCCAUAUCUUCCAUCCUUUGCCUCUGUGAGCAUGUUUGGGGAGGAGACAUCUAUGAGAUUGCAGGAGCCAAUUCAGGCUACAUGCUUAUAGCUGCAAUGGAAAAAUUAGGCUAGAAUUCAGGGCCUCCCUGAGGAUAUUUCUGAAAAUCAUGUACUUCCUUUAAGGGAUUUACAAAUCUGGAGUCCUUCCAAAACAGGACAAGUAAGACAUGAGCAGGAAGUUUCUACUCUCCAUCCAGCAGCCAAGAAUAGACUUCGUCAUUCAGAUGGGGCCACAGAGGUACAGACCUGAGAGAGCUGGAAGUCACAGAGCCAAUCCCAUGUAUUACCGAUGAGGUAACUAUGGCUCAGGGUGACUUGACCUAUAAGCCACAAGCUUGUGGGUGACCACUGCACGCCCUGAAUGGAGGAUUUAAUUCCAUCCCCCUGCCCCACAAGUAGCCUCUGAGAGACAGCGUACCUGAUGCCACCUUAUGUGGGAUUGUUGUGCUGUCACAAAUUUCUGAAUCCCCUAUUUGUGGAAUAGAGAAAUCAAAGCCACCAGAUAUUCAAGGGUAUCCACUAAAGAAGCCACGUUGUUACUUCAGCUAAAAAUAACCUAAAGGCCUAACAGUGAAUUACCAUUUAUCUAAUCAUCUGGGAAUGAUGAAAUUAAUGUUUCGUAUCUACUAUUUUGCAGUUAUAAAUUGCUUAGAAAGUAUAGAUUUUUUCCUGCAUAAUUCCGCUUUCCCAUGAGUGCACAUGCAUACACACAAGACCCAACCACAGUAUCUUGACCAUGAAUAUAAUAAAUAAGGAAAUAACAAAUGUAGUCAGGUGAAGCAAGGGGUUCUGUUAGCACAAGAAUGUUCUAGGCCUAGUGUUUGGUGGAGCCAACCAGCUCCUACAAGCCAGUGAAAACUAAGGAAAGUGCCUGGCAGUUUCAUUAUGGAGUGCUUUCCAAUAACCUAAUUCCUCCACCAUCAAAAGUUGGUCAGGGAACAUCACCAUUUUUAGAAAGAUGCUUUGUUUUGAUAAAACAACCCUUCUGUAUUAGUCUGUUCUCAUGCUGCUGAUAAAGACUCACCUGAGACUGGGUAAUUUAUAAAGGAAAAGAGGUUUAGUGGACUCACAGUUCCAUGCGGCCGGGGAGGCCUCACGAUCAUGGCAGAAAGCAAAAGGCACAUCUUAUAUGGUGGCAGAUAAGAGAGAGCUUGGGCAGGGAAACUCCCCUUUAUCAAACCAUCAAAUCUUGUGAGACUUAUUCACUAUCAUGAGAACAGCACAGGAAAGACCUGCCCCCAUGAUUCAAUUACCUUCCACCAGGUGCCUCCCAUGACACAUGGGAAUUGUGGGAGCUACAAUUCAAGAUGAGAUUUGAGUGGGGUCACAGUCAAACCGUAUCACCUUCUAAGCUUAUGUCUCACUACUUACCCAAAAAUAGGCUGUAAAGGGCCCAGCAUUUGCUUUCUAGCAACUGCUGUUGUCAUACUACCAUUGCUUUCCCUGCCUGCAGGGCCCUCCAUGCAUCUCUGUUUAAAGUCUAAAGCCGGAUCCAGCUCUCAUGCUGCCUUCUGCAGAAAGACACCUCUGGUGUUUGUCAGCCAGAGGAGCCUCCCCACCUCUCGACUCCUGGCCACUUCUCUUAAAAACAUGACCAAUGAUGCCAAAAGUCUAAUUCAUGUGUAGAGUUGGUGUUGUAGAGUAGAAGGGGAUUGAGAGGUAGAGACUAAGUAACUACUUAGCUUUGAACAUGUCAGGAAGUUUCUCUGUUCUUCAGCUUCCUAAUCUGUAAAAUGUAGUUAGGGACAGGACCUACCUGAUGAGGUUGUUGCAAGAAGUAAAUGAAAUAAUUCACCCAGGCGCAGUGGCUCACGCCUGUAAUCCCAGCACUUUGGGAGGCCAAGACGGGCAGAUCACGAGGUCAGGAGAUCGAGACCAUCCUGGCUAACACGGUGAAACCCUGUCUCUACUAAAAAUACAAAAUAUUAGCUGGGCGUGGUGGCGGGCGCCUGUGGUCCCAGCUACACGGGAGGGUGAGGAGGGAGAAUGGCAUGAACCGGGGGGCAGAGCUUGCAGUGAGUGGAGAUUGCGCCACUGCACUCCAGCCUGGGAGACAGAGCGAGACUCCGUCUCAAAAAAAAAAGAAAUAAUUCAUGUAAAAAGCAACUAGUACAGUGCCUGGUACAUAGUCAAGGCUUACAAUGUCAGGAAAGAAAAAUGGAAGGGAGGGAGGGAGGAGAGGAAGAGGGAAAAGCAAAGCAAAGAGAAUAAGACCAGGCUGGCCAACACAGUGACACCCCAUCUCUACAAAAAGCCAGGCACGGUGGCUGAUAUGGUUUGGAUUUGUGUCCCUGCCCACAUCUCAUGUUGACUUGUAAUCCCUAAUGUUGGAGGAGGGGCCUGGUGGAAGGUGACUGGAUCAUGGGGGAGGAUUUUCCCCCUUGCUAUUCUUGUGAUAGUGAGUGAGUUCUCGCAAGAUCUGGUUGUUUACAAGUUGAUAUGGUUUGGUUGUAUCCCCACUCAAAUCUCAACUUGAACUGUAUCUCCCAGAAUUCCCACAUGUUGUGGGAGGCACCCAGGGGGAGGUAGUUGAAUCAUGGGGGCCAGUGUUUCCCGUGCUAUUAUCAUGAUGGUAAGUCUCACAAGAUCUGAUGGGUUUAUCAGGGGUUUCUGCUUCUGCUUCUCUCUCAAUUUUUCCUGCCACACCAUGUAAGAAGUGCCUUUCACCUCCUACCAUGAUUCUGAGGCCUC